RNAcentral lists this long non-coding RNA (493 nucleotides) under Carica papaya (papaya). RNAcentral's name for it is "long non-coding RNA (CPAP_LNC004914)". The record is from RNAcentral. Lineage: Eukaryota; Viridiplantae; Streptophyta; Magnoliopsida; Brassicales; Caricaceae.
AAAUUCAUUCCCUUCGAACUUGGUAUUGUACACAAAUAAAUCCUUUACCCAUGAUUAUAAUUGCUAUCAUACUUCUUUCACUAAUGCGUCUUGGGAAGUGAAAGUUCCUUCUAAAGUGUAAGUUUUUGCUUGAACUUUUGUUCUUAACAGGCUCAACACUGAUGAUAUUGCAAAUUUGUUGGUCUAAUCGUGCUCUUUCACCAAAUAUCUAUUUAAGUAUCUAAGGAAGGGGGGAACCCAUACUCAUCUUUUCCUUUAGGAUGAUGUGGCUUGGAAUUUGUGGACUAAGCUGUUUAAUACUUUUGGGUUGAUGUGGGCUGUUCCUUCAUCACUGGAAUGCUUCAUGAGUUUGAAUUUGUUUGGAAAGAGGGUGAGAAAGAAAGCUAAAAUACUACAAAGUGCACAUUGUUUGCAGGCUUGUGAACUCUAGGGCUGGAAUGGAACCACAGGAUCUUCAAAGGCCGUACCUUUCCUUCCAAAUUAUGUAAGAAUU